RNAcentral lists this ribosomal RNA (468 nucleotides) under uncultured bacterium. Its description in RNAcentral is "partial 16S ribosomal RNA". It matches the Rfam family "Bacterial small subunit ribosomal RNA", at positions 28 to 507 of the family's 1533-position model. The record is from RNAcentral.
GACGAACGCUGGCGGCGUGCUUAACACAUGCAAGUCGAACGGAAAGGCCCUGCUUUUGUGGGGUGCUCGAGUGGCGAACGGGUGAGUAACACGUGAGUAACCUGCCCUUGACUUUGGGAUAACUUCAGGAAACUGGGGCUAAUACCGGCUAGGAGCUCCUGCUGCAUGGUGGGGGUUGGAAAGUUUCGGCGGUUGGGGAUGGACUCGCGGCUUAUCAGCUUGUUGGUGGGGGAGUGGCUUACCAAGGCUUUGACGGGUAGCCGGCCUGAGAGGGUGACCGGGCACAUUGGGACUGCGAUACGGACCAGACUCCUACGGGAGGCAGCAGUGGGGAAUAUUGCACAAUGGGCGGAAGCCUGAUGCAGCAACGCCGCGUGCGGGAUGACGGCCUUCGGGUUGUAAACCGCUUUCGCCUGUGACGAAGCGUGAGUGACGGUAAUGGGUAAAGAAGCACCGGCUAACUACGUG